UACGGAGGGUGCAAGCGUUAAUCGGAAUUACUGGGCGUAAAGCGCACGCAGGUGGCUGAGUCAGUCGAUUGUGAAAGCCCUGGGCUUAACCUGGGAAUUGCAGUCGAUACUACUCAGCUAGAGUAUGGGAGAGGGUAGUGGAAUUCCCGGUGUAGCGGUGGAAUGCGUAGAGAUCCGGAGGAACACCAGCGGCGAAGGCGGCGUCCUGGACUGGUACUGACGCUCAGGAGCGAAAGCGUGGGGAGCGAUCCGG
This 253-nucleotide ribosomal RNA is filed under the name uncultured bacterium. RNAcentral describes it as "partial 16S ribosomal RNA". It matches the Rfam family "Bacterial small subunit ribosomal RNA", at positions 524 to 776 of the family's 1533-position model. The record is from RNAcentral.